CAGAUUAUAGCUUAUUUAAAGCUUAUUAUUUACAUUAAUAUGAAAACGAUGAUUUUUUUCUGA
This 63-nucleotide transfer RNA is filed under the name Chudania hellerina. RNAcentral's name for it is "tRNA-Val". Lineage: Eukaryota; Metazoa; Arthropoda; Insecta; Hemiptera; Cicadellidae. The record is from RNAcentral.